Molecule: long non-coding RNA, 1149 nt
Filed under: Marmota monax (woodchuck)
Lineage: Eukaryota; Metazoa; Chordata; Mammalia; Rodentia; Sciuridae
Source: RNAcentral
UUAGAUAACAUCAAAAGACCAAAUCUAAGAUUUAUUGGGAUAGAGGAAGGCACAAAGAUUCAAACCAAAGGAAUGCACAAUUUCUUCAAUGAAAUAAUAUCAGAAAAUUUCCCAAGCACGAAGAAUAAAUUGCAAAAUCAAAUACAAGAGGCCGAUAGGAAACCAAAUGUACAAAAUUAAAACAAAUCUACACCAAGAUACAUUAUAAUGAAAAGGUCUAGCAAACAGAGUAAGGAUAAAAAUUUAAAAGCAACAGAGAAAGGAAUGAGAUUACAUAUAUGGAAAAAAAUUCGGAUCUCUGGAGAUUUUCAAUCCAGACCCUCAAAGCUAGAGUAUCCUGAAAAAAUAUAUACCAAUCUAUGAAAGAAAAUGGAUGCCAACCAAGAAUCAUAUUCAGAAAAAAUAAGCUUUAGAUUUGAUAAUGAAAUAAAAACUUUCCAUGACAAACAUAAGUUAAAAGAAUUUACAACUAGAAAGACUGCAGUAGAGAACAUCUUGGGAAAAUAGACCAAGAGAAGCAAAUGAAAAACAACAAUGAAAAUCAGCAAAGGGAGUGAUUACACUAAAGGAAAAAUCAGCCAAAAGAGAAACCAAGUCAAUAUAAAUACCAAAAAUAAACAAAAAUGACAUGAAAUACAAAUCAUGUCUAAAUAGUAACCCUCAAUAUUAAUGUCCUGAAAUCACCAAACAAAAGACAUAGACUGGCAGGUUGAAUUUAAAACAACAACAACAACAAUAUGCUGCAUUCAAGAGGCUCAUCUCAUAGGAAAAAGCAUCCACAGACCAAAGGUGAGAGGUUGGGAAAAAACACACUCACAUGGACUGUAGAAACAAUUAGGGGUUUCCACCCUCAUAUCAAAUAGACUUCAAGCCAAAGUUAAUCAAAAGGGAUAAAGAAGAACAUUUCAUACUACUUAAGGAAUCCAUAUAUCAACAAGACUUAAAAAUUAUAAAUAUGUAUACCCCAAGCAGUAGAGCAUCUAUGCUCAUCAAUCAAACUCGUCUCAACUUCAAGAGUCAAAUAGACCACAAUAAAGUAAUUCUGGAUGACUUUAACAUGCCUCUUUCACCACUGGAUAGAUCUUCCAAACAAAAGCUAAACAAAGAAAUUAUAGAACUCAAUAAUACAAUCAAGAACUUAGACUUAAC